UGAUAUUUAACCGUUUUUACCUUGGCUGCCAAGAUUACACUGAUUUAUGUAUUCACUGCAGUAAUUUUAGUUAAAUAUGCUUGUUAAACUUAAUAUAUGUUUGCUAAAAUAAGUUAUCUUUUAAUAUCAUGCUCUAAUUUAAACAUAGCAUUGAUAACAAACUACGUUGCAUGUUUUAAACAUUUUGUUAAACUUUUUAAAAUUGUGUGCGCAACUGCCGCUGGCCCCUCUCGCCCAUUGUCCCUUUGUUCACAUUCCUUCACAUUCCUUCCUAUUGUUCGCAAGCCAGCAUCCCGGUCCUGCGCCAUUUUUCUUAACAAAAGACUUUGUAUCCAGUCACAGGAAAACAGCUUCCUAUGGGAGAAUAAGAUGUAAGAUGUGUAAAUGGUAGUGUGGAGACCUCAGAGCAACACUUAAUUUCAUGACCAACAGCGGUCUCCAGGUGUUGUGUGUAUCAAUCAGCCCACUGUAUCAAUCUUUUAAUAAAUUAUAAGGUCCCCACUGCUUGAUACUUCACCAAAUACUGGCUACACCAGAAGAUGACUAAAUGUUCUUAACACUUAACAACUACCACAAGCAUCACUUCUGGGCCACUGAAGGGUCCAAUCGUUCAAUUACGGAAAUGAUAAAGUUAAUGAAAUUGCUCAAAAGUUGUCUGGCACCUUCUUAACUCAGAGACAUAGGAAUGUGGAUGGAUUAUGACAUACCUUGCACAAAUCAACAACCAGGCUUUUAUUGGAUUUGAAUCCCAAAGGAAAGAGAAAGUCUGUUAUCCAAAACAAACAUGGAAAAUAUCAGAAACCAACAAAGCACAAGCAGGCAGAAUGUCAUGGACCCAACUUUAGGGAAUCUCCCAAAACCAAGUAUAAAAAGAGAGAGGUGUGGUUGUGUCUCUCAGCUCCACA
This is a long non-coding RNA of Physella acuta, 905 nucleotides long. RefSeq lists it as uncharacterized. Lineage: Eukaryota; Metazoa; Mollusca; Gastropoda; Physidae. The record is from RefSeq and is a predicted model, not a curated record.